RNAcentral lists this ribosomal RNA (433 nucleotides) under uncultured bacterium. Its description in RNAcentral is "partial 16S ribosomal RNA". It matches the Rfam family "Bacterial small subunit ribosomal RNA", at positions 29 to 507 of the family's 1533-position model. The record is from RNAcentral.
AACGAACGCUGGCGGCAUGCCUAACACAUGCAAGUCGAACGAGACCUUCGGGUCUAGUGGCGCAUGGGUGCGUAACGCGUGGGAACCUGCCCUUAGGUUCGGAAUAACUCCCCGAAAGGGGUGCUAAUACCGGAUAAUGUCUUCGGACCAAAGAUUUAUCGCCUUUGGAUGGGCCCGCGUUGGAUUAGCUAGUUGGUAGGGUAAAAGCCUACCAAGGCGACGAUCCAUAGCUGGUCUGAGAGGAUGAUCAGCCACACUGGGACUGAGACACGGCCCAGACUCCUACGGGAGGCAGCAGUGGGGAAUAUUGGACAAUGGGCGAAAGCCUGAUCCAGCAAUGCCGCGUGAGUGAUGAAGGCCGUAGGGUUGUAAAGCUCUUUUACCCGGGAUGAUAAUGACAGUACCGGGAGAAUAAGCGCCGGCUAACUCCGUG